GACGAACGCUGGCGGCGUGCCUAAUACAUGCAAGUCGAGCGGACAGAUGGGAGCUUGCUCCCUGAAGUCAGCGGCGGACGGGUGAGUAACACGUGGGCAACCUGCCUGUAAGACUGGGAUAACUCCGGGAAACCGGGGCUAAUACCGGAUAACUCUUUUCUUCACAUGAGGAAAAGCUGAAAGAUGGUUUCGGCUAUCACUUACAGAUGGGCCCGCGGCGCAUUAGCUGGUUGGUGAGGUAACGGCUCACCAAGGCCACGAUGCGUAGCCGACCUGAGAGGGUGAUCGGCCACACGUGGGGACUGAGACACGGCCCAGACUCCUACGGGAGCAGCAGUAGGAUCUCCGCAAUGGGCAAAGCCUGACGGAGCAACGCCGCGUGAGUGAUGAAGGGUUUCGCU
Molecule: ribosomal RNA, 401 nt
Filed under: uncultured bacterium
Lineage: Bacteria
Description: bacterial SSU rRNA
Rfam family: Bacterial small subunit ribosomal RNA
Source: RNAcentral